CCUACGGGGUGCAGCAGUGGGGAAUAUUGGGCAAUGGGCGCAAGCCUGACCCAGCAACGCCGCGUGAAGGAAGAAGGCUUUCGGGUUGUAAACUUCUUUUCUGAGGGACGAAGAAAGUGACGGUACCUGAGGAAUAAGCCACGGCUAACUACGUGCCAGCAGCCGCGGUAAUACGUAGGUGGCAAGCGUUACCCGGAUUUAAUGGGUGUAAAGGGCGUGUAGGCGGGAAAGCAAGUCCGAUGUGAAAACUGAGGGCCCAACCCCCAGCCUGCAUUUGAAACUGUUUUUCUUGAGUGCUGGAGAGGUAAGCGGAAUUCCGUGUGUAGCGGUGAAAUGCGUAGAUAUACGGCGGAACACCAGUGGCGAAGGCGGAUUGCUGGACAGUAACUGACUCUGAGGCGCGAAAGCGUGGGGAGCAAACAGGAUUAGAUACCCCAGUAGUC
RNAcentral lists this ribosomal RNA (443 nucleotides) under uncultured bacterium. RNAcentral's name for it is "partial 16S ribosomal RNA". It matches the Rfam family "Bacterial small subunit ribosomal RNA", at positions 338 to 795 of the family's 1533-position model. The record is from RNAcentral.